UUAGACGCGUUUUCAUCAAAUCAUAAUUACAAGGAAUGAAUAUGGUUUGGAAAGUGUAUCGUGGUGUUAGGACCUAUAGCAGUAUGGGUUAGGAAGUCUUUGUACUAUUUAUUAAGCAAAUAACACAAACUUUAAAAAGACUGAAUUUAGACUUAUAGUUUUGCAUUGAUAUCAACUAAUACAGAUGAUGCAGCCUCAGAAGUUCACAAACUAUGUAGCCACCCCAUUCCCAAGUGUUUACCAGGCAUUGGACAUGUCUUUGGUGUUAGGAUGAUAGCUUUAGGAAUAACAUAUGUAAGUAAAAGUGUCAAUAUGAAAAAUCACACAGUUCAAUUAUGCAAACAAAUUAAUCGAAUAAAUAUAAUUUGAUAAUUUUACGAUGGUGUUAAUGAUGUAUGUUGAUGAUAAUGAUGAUACUAACUUGAACGCACAUGCUCCAUUAUAGUCGUGACAACUACGACUCGAUUCUCCAUUGUGAAUUUUGUUAAAUCUACCAAACUUUAUCCAUCAAAUAACAAGGAAGUUGUGAACUUAAACAUUGAAAGGUAUUGGAUUUAAAAAAAAGAGAAAAAGAUGUUCUUCAACAACGCCAACGUUGGGAUGUGCACCGUAGGAAGCAUGGUGUUCGAUGACGAGGAGUUCCCCGAAAAGGAGCUCCGUUUCUGCACGUUUUUGUAUGGUCGUGCUAUUUGGAGGACGGUGCCGGGGGCGUGCACAAUAACAUCUCAAAAGUUUGCACGAUUUGUCCAAAACCCCAACGCUUAUCAACAAUAUGUUUCCGCUCUACCGGGAGUUGGGAAAGUGAUAAGCCAGAGUAUGGCUGAAAAUGGAAUACACUAGGUGUCGCAAGUCCUAGACGUGUAUAAAAAAAUGUCCUACACCUCGUUCAUACAGUGGAUGAAGUGUGUUUCAGGAGCACAACACAAAAACUGUCUCAAUCAGUUUUUCGAACAUUGCUUUGAAGCCCUGAAGUGCUGGUGUGAAAGAUUUGAAGGCACUUUAAUGUUUACCAAGCAAAUGGUUCUACCACAGAUGGCUCGAUGUCCCCUUGGACCUAUCAACCAAUCCCUGUGGUUUGGAGGCCUUGGGUUUUAGUGCAGUAUUGUGAACCCAACAUUUUGACAGUGUCACCUAAUUGAAAAAAUAUAUUUACUGACUUCCGGUAAUCAAACAUGGCGGCCGCCUAAAACUAACGUGGUAAAAAGUAAACUUUUAACUUCACGUUAAAAAGCAUAAUAAGCAUAUAAGAGCCUCAACAACCUUGCAAUGGACCAAGCAAUAUAUACAGGGAAGAAUUUACCCUUAAGCGACGGUUACCUUCACCCUACACCGAAAAAACGGACCAGAGAAGAGACGACCUCCACGUCGACGGGUGGGAUAAGGACGCCACCACCUCAACCUAAAGGCCUAAACUCCAGCCCGAGCCACCCAAUAUAUCCAGAUAUUUAUCCGUCCCUGACCAAAUUUAACACUCCUGUGGACUUUGAGAUUUUAAAGUAACUCCCAAAUGAUGAAAAACUGAAUGUCAUACUUGAAAACAUUGUGUCGUUGAAUUUGGGACACUGCAGAAUAAACGAUGUAGAGCACGCAUGUACAUAUAAUCUCGCUUCACUUAAUAUUGUUGAUGAACGACUAAGGCUAUAAGAAUAUAAAUAAAUCGAACUUCAGGCCCGUCAACGUGAAUCGAAUAUGUGAAUAGGUGGCCUGCCAGAAAAGCUAGGUAAUUACUGCAUGGACCUUGCUUAAAGCGUCAUUGCUCAAAAUCUCAAACUGAAAGAAGAGGACAUUAAUGUCGUAUCUGCAUACCGGGUUGGCAAACGGCAACAUCAGUAAGGUCCCCGACAAUUACAGCCUAGGCUCAUAUUUGUGUCUUUUUCGCACCCAGGCCAGAUCAACCAGGUUAUGAAAAAUGCCUUUAAGUUGAAGGGUUCAAAAGUGAGCUUGAAUAGGGACUACCCUAGGGAAAUUCAGGAGGCGAAAAAAGCCCUUUGGCACGAAUUUAAGGCAAACUGAGAUAGAUUUGGAGCCAAAAACGUAAAAAUCAAAGUCCCAGCUGCUCUAGUGGUAAACGGCCAAACAAUACGGGACCAGUUCCCGAACUGGAACACAAUACUAGCCGAAAUCUGCAUCAUAAACCUACAAAGACGUGUGAUGUCUGCAUACGAAACAAGGCGCUCCGACCAAUACGAGACGCCAGCUCCCGCCAGUUCCCUUCAAGACGGUUCAAAUCUCACCCCAAAGCGUACCACCAAGACCCAAUGAAGCAGUUCCAGCUACAGUACCAACUUCCAGCCAAGCGGCGGCACCGGACGCCUCUGACUCAAUUCAACAACAACACGACGGGGCCGUAACACCCCUCACCAGUGAGCCAGUAAUUUCGGCGCCCCCGCGAAUUAACAGCGCAGAAACGCCCCCUCACGGCCAAACGGCCCCAGAACCGCCGGCCAAGCCCUCCGGAAAUGGUCCCGCUUAGGACAGACAGGGUCCAAUUACCAAUGAUAGAAACUAUGAAACAUUGUCAAUAGGAUCGUUAAAUGUGUGUGGAAUUAAAUGAAGAUUGAAUUACACGGAAUUUACAAAUUUUGCUGUACCGAAACAAUGUUAUUAGAUUUAGACAUCAUUAGCAUUAAGAAUUAUGAAUUUUUAACCUAGAAAACAUAAUAUUUUGAAAAAAUCAGGAGGUAUUGGUUUGUUUAUAAAGGAAAAACUUGUCAAGCAUUUGGGUAAAGGCUAAAAAGGUAUCUCUGUCCAUAGAUAAAGAUGUAAUAUUGGGUAUUAUUUACAUACCUCAUGAAUCUUCCAGAUUCUUUAGCCAUGAUGAAAUGCUUAUUUUUGAAAAUGAAAUUAUUGAUAUGUGUAAUAACCAUGACAAUGUUAUGCUAUGUGGUGACACUAAUAAUCACACUUCAAAUGCAAAGGAUUUUGUUGAAAGCGAUGAUUUUAUCGCAGAUUUAUUCAAUUUUGAUAACGAAAUCUUAGAUUAUUUUAACCAAGUACGAACACUUGAUUUGAGUAAGUUAACGCUGAAUUGCUCAUCUGUUGAUACCAAAAUAAACACAAUCGGUACAACUGUUUUGCAAAUAUGCAAAAUUAAUAAUUUAUUCAUCUUAAAUGGUAGGUUUGGAAUGGAUAAGGGCAUAGGCAAAAGUACCUAUAAGCAAAAUUCCGUUAUAGAUUACUUCAUAAGCUCGCCCCUUAUUUUGAAAAACAUACUACAAUUUGAAAUACAUGAAUUAGACCCACUUUAUUCCGAUGGUCAUGUACUAUUAUCUUUGUAAACAAAAUGAAUAACGGAAAAAUAGAACAUUUGCAGUCACAACUAGAUCAGUUUGAAAACAGUGAAGUAUUAUAGAUAACAUAGCAAGCACAUUCGCCAAUAUUUUUAUCAGCGAAGCAGCCACAAAUACUUUUCCCGCCAAACGAAAAAGCUUUUAUAAUAAUAAUAAUAAUAAUAGCAAUUAUAAUACGGCUAAGCCUAACAAACCAUGGUUCGGGCUCCGUGUAGGAACAAACGAGUUGUUUACAAUCAAGCAAAAAGGCAAUAUAAUAUUGAUAAAUCGGACAAAAAUAGAAUGUUACUCAACUGUAAAAGUAAAUAUUAUAAACGUACGAUGAAUUUCUAUGUAAGCCAAUACAAAUUUAAUAAGGCCAACCCUUAAGGAAUAUGCAGAAAUCCCAGCCAAAAACAUACUGGUCUUACCUUAAAGACAUUUAAAAGAAAGUUAAUGGCAAAAAUCCUAGUAUUGAGGACUUUCAAGAUUUUUUCAAAAAUCUUAACACCACUAACGGUGCCGAAAACACAGAUAUCAUAUACAUUAAUAUUGAUAAUGACUAAGAGACACUAAUUUAACCUUUAACUUCCUUAGAAAUCAAAAAGAUGAUUAAUAAAUGCAAUAAUGGCGAAGCUUCUAGUCCAUCUGGUAAUAUAUGUAACGAAUAUAUAAAUUCAACUAAACAAAUACUUUUACCUAUAUAUGUACAAUUCUUUAAUUGCAUUCUUAAUACCGGAUUUUUUCCGAAAUCAUGGGCAGAAGGUUACAUUAUACCAAUUUACAAACAAAAUCCCCUGAAAAUUAUCGUCCGAUAACAAUUUUAAGUUGUUUAGGAAAAUUAUUUACAGCUGUGCUUAAGGAACGGUUUACUAAAUUCUCGGAUAAGUACAGAAUUAUUUCUGAAAAUCAAGCAGGUUUCCGGAAAAAUCAUUCCACCCCGGACCAUAUUUUUACCUUACACGUUUUAAUCGAAUUAUUAAGAUUACAGAUACAACAGCUCUUUGUAGGGUACGUCGAUUUCAAACGUUGUUUUGACUCCAUUCCUAGAAUUGAAUUAUUCCAAAAAAUAACUUCAAUGGGCAUAGACGGCAAAAUUCUUAGUGUGCGUAAUAUGUACUCGAACAUCAAAUCUUGUGUUCAAUUAAAUGGAAAUAGCUCCGCAACUUUUUCUUGUAACAUAGGCUUACGCCAAGGAGAAAAUCUUUCUCCAAUACUUUUCUCCUAUUACCUUAAUGAUUUGUACGAAAUUCUGGAUACUAGAAAUAAUGAUGGAAUAACGAUUGAGUAUUUAGUAGAAGAUUUAACGAACUAUUUAAAAAUUCUUGUCCUGUUGUACGUCGAUGAUACAAUUAUGCUGGCCAGAUCAAAAAACGAUUUUCAGAAAUGCCUUAGUGAUUUUAACGAAUAUUGUCAGCAUUGGAAGCUCGAGGUCAAUAUAAACAAAACAAAGGUCAUGCUAUUUGGGGCGAACAGAAGAUCGUGGAGACAUUAUAGAUUUAUACUGAACAACGAAGAACUAGAAAUCGGUGAUAAUUAUAAGUAUUUAGGAAUGGUAUUUAGCCCAACCGGGAAGUUUAAUAAAGCCAAAGAACAUUUAGCCCAACAAGCAAAAUUUCCUAUACAGAAGAAGUAAUAAACUUGACUUACCAAUUGAUCUCCAACUUAAACUAUUUGAUCAUAAUAUUGUUCCUAUAUUAACUUACUCUUGUGAAAUCCUAGGAUUUGAGAAUACCGAAAUUUAUGAAAAAAUACAUCUAGAUUUUUUAAGGAAAAUAACAAAUUCAAGGAAAAGUGCACCUGCAAAUAUGUUAUAUGGCGAGCUUGGCAGAGAACCGCUUAAAAUUACAAUUUAAAAAAGAAUGAUUGCUUAUUGGAGCAAACUAGUACUAUUUGAGGACGUAUAUGCAUCAAUUGUUUACCGCUCUAUGCGACAAAGUAACCUAAAUUUUAAAUGGCUUAAUUAUAUAAAGUAUUGUUUUUACUCCACUGGUAAUUCAAAUUUGUUUGAAAAUCAAAUAAACGUAAAUGUUAAGUUCACAAGUUAUAGUAUAACGAAAAUAUUAAAAGACCAGUACUUACAAUUUUGGCACGAAAAAAUGAGAUCGUCUAAUAAAGGAAUAUCUUAUAAUAGCUUUAAGCAAACGAUUACACUAGAGAAAUAAUUAUCUAUCAUUCCACUUAAUCAUGCUUUAAAUUUAUACAAACUUAGAUCAUGUAACUUUAAAUUUCCAGUUGAAACUUUAGCAUGGCAAGGAAUAGAAUACGCGCACAGGCGGUGUCCGCUCUGUCAGUCAGACAUUGGCGACAGCUACCAUUAACGUACAAAAUUUCCAGGAUCAAAGAAAAAUCUUCAUUUCACAAUAUUAUUGGCAGCAUCCAAAUAUGAUAUAGUAUCGCGAGCUCCUAAAUACAAGUAAUAAAAAAACUAUCGUUAAUCUGUCAAAGUUCGCCAGAUAUUUGAUGAAUCACGUGAAAUUUUAACAAUUAUUAAUUACUCUACUUCUUCUUACCUCCAGGCUUAUAUUCCAAAUCACGCAGCGAUCAUUAUCUCAACAAAGUCCAUUAUUCAUAACUAGUUAAAUCUAAAUAAUCUCAUAUUAAAUUUGUAGCAAGGCCAAGACCACUUACAACAUUCAUAAAUUUCUGCACUUGCUUUUUUGUACCGUUAGCAAAUGAAACGAGGCGAAUUUCCAUACAUAAAAUAUUCCGAGGCAGGUUUAAGGGACUUGUUUUUACUACAGAUAAGUUCGCAGAUCAACGAGUAGUAUACAUGCAAACUUCUUAAGCUGUAAAACUUACAUUGAUUUCCUUUAUCAUGAUUGUUAGCGAUUUGUCACUGUACCCGGUGGUAAAAUUGCCUCAAUUGUUAUUUUCCGUCAUGUUGUUUACUUAAUUGCCUGUAUAUUUAUUACAUGUCUAUUGUAACGAUAUGUUACCGUGACAAAAUAAAAAAGUGAAGUGAA
Mya arenaria is the source of this 6235-nucleotide long non-coding RNA. RefSeq lists it as uncharacterized. The record is from RefSeq and is a predicted model, not a curated record. The transcript has 5 exons. Lineage: Eukaryota; Metazoa; Mollusca; Bivalvia; Myida; Myidae.